RNAcentral lists this small RNA (134 nucleotides) under Salmonella enterica. RNAcentral describes it as "RtT sRNA". It matches the Rfam family "RtT RNA". Rfam says of the family: This family represents a bacterial cis-regulatory element known as RtT RNA. The exact function of RtT is unknown although it is thought that it may be involved in changing the cellular response in relation to amino acid starvation. The record is from RNAcentral. Lineage: Bacteria; Pseudomonadati; Pseudomonadota; Gammaproteobacteria; Enterobacterales; Enterobacteriaceae. RNAcentral also lists the same sequence under 1 other name.
UGUAUCUGAAGCCUGACGAGGAUGAGAACCUCCGGGGGCAAGAGGUUCGACCCGAGCGAAGCGAGAGAACGUUGCGUCAGCAACGGCCUGCAGGGCGAGCCACGCAGUGGCGAGUCAUCCUCUAUCACCGACCA